This 26-nucleotide ribosomal RNA is filed under the name Anopheles maculatus. RNAcentral's name for it is "partial 28S ribosomal RNA". RNAcentral also lists the same sequence under 3 other names. The record is from RNAcentral. Lineage: Eukaryota; Metazoa; Arthropoda; Insecta; Diptera; Culicidae.
GGCCUCAAGUGAUGUGUGACUACCCC